Molecule: ribosomal RNA, 497 nt
Filed under: uncultured bacterium
Lineage: Bacteria
Description: partial 16S ribosomal RNA
Rfam family: Bacterial small subunit ribosomal RNA
Source: RNAcentral
GAUGAACGCUGGCGGCGUGCCUAAUACAUGCAAGUCGAGCGAACGGACGAGAAGCUUGCUUCUCUGAUGUUAGCGGCGGACGGGUGAGUAACACGUGGAUAACCUACCUAUAAGACUGGGAUAACUUCGGGAAACCGGAGCUAAUACCGGAUAAUAUUUUGAACCGCAUGGUUCAAAAGUGAAAGACGGCCUUGCUGUCACUUAGAGAUGGAUCCGCGCUGCAUUAGCUAGUUGGUAAGGUAACGGCUUACCAAGGCAACGAUGCAUAGCCGACCUGAGAGGGUGAUCGGCCACACUGGAACUGAGACACGGUCCAGACUCCUACGGGAGGCAGCAGUAGGGAAUCUUCCGCAAUGGGCGAAAGCCUGACGGAGCAACGCCGCGUGAGUGAUGAAGGUCUUCGGAUCGUAAAACUCUGUUAUUAGGGAAGAACAUAUGUGUAAGUAACUGUGCCCAUCUUGACGGUACCUACUCAGAAAGCCACGGCUAACUACGUG